AGGCCGGGCCUGAAGCGGACAGGGAGCCCAGGAAGGCGCUGUUGCCGGACUUGACGUUGAUGCGGUCACCCGCGGUGUAGGAGGCCGUGGAGGCAAUGGUGAGCGUCAGCGUGGUGCCGCCAGAGAUGGAGCAGGCGCUGAAGGGAGCAGUCCUGGACGCGCCGGCAGCAGAGACCAGGUCAAACGCGGCGUUGCAGACGGUGCCGUUGUUGGUGGAGGCCGGCAGGUUGGCGGCGUACGGCAGGGCCACAACAAUGGUGGAGGAGGCGGUCAGCAUGGCGGUGGUGGCGGCCGUGAGGAUGGGGUUGAUGGGCGUCAGCAGCACGCCAUAGGCGGUGGUGUUGGCGAACGUCAGCUUGGUCUGGCCCGACUUGGGGGUGACCUGGUCGCCCACCACGUAGAUGCCGGCGGUCAUGUUGAGCACCAGCGUGUUGUUGGAGCCGAUGGAGCAGCCGGUCCAGGGGCUCACACGCGAGGUGGUGCCGGAGGCGUCCAGCAGGUCAAACGCGUCGCCGCACUCGGAGGCAGAGAUGGUGGCGGGGAGCGCGCUGGCUAGGGGCAGCUGCACAGUGACCUGGGUGGCGGAUGUCAGCACAGCCGAGCUGAAGCCAGGCACGAUGGCAACGGGGGUGGAGGCGGCGAUGUAGUUGGGGCCCAGGGUGACGGAGGCGCCCGCGCGCAGCUGCCACUGGCCGGUGCGCACGUUCACGGUGUCACCUACGGACAGAUGGAUCGGCACAACGUUGUUCAUACUGCUGACGUGGUCUCGAAGUGGCGUACCUUGCAUUCAACAAGUCAGGCUCUCAAUUGCCAUGCACACGUGCUUACC
This 829-nucleotide long non-coding RNA is filed under the name Chlamydomonas reinhardtii. Its description in RNAcentral is "long non-coding RNA (CREI_LNC000746)". The record is from RNAcentral. Lineage: Eukaryota; Viridiplantae; Chlorophyta; Chlorophyceae; Chlamydomonadales; Chlamydomonadaceae.